UGUAGAUGUAGUGAUUUCCCCUACAAUGACAUUCUUUUGACCUGGCACCCAACAACUACGUAGUGUAGAUGUAGUGAUUGUAUAAGUUAGUGAACUGUUAUAAGCUGUUGUAACCAAUGUAGAUGUAUUGAUUAUAUAAGUUAGUGAACUGUUAUAAGCUGUUGUAACCAAUGAAACAAAAGGAGCAAGUAGGAGAAUAGGAAACCCUGUUUAAGCAGUUGCCGGGGAGAGAAAGAUUUAGUAUGUCUGUUUUGUGAGAAACAGGUCACAGGUCAGAGACACACACACAUAGUCGGACAGACAAGACAGAAACCAGAAAGGGGGGCAAGGGGAUACUUGCAGUUAUCCUAUAAGGAAUAAAACUGGGAUUGGGCCAAUGGCACACACUUUGUAAGUUAACGCCUCUAUCUUUUUGGGCGUAGUAGAAGUAUAAAAAUGAUGUUUUGACUGUUGAUCCUUAGACAUUGUGCGGCGACACGUGUCUCCAGAAGCUUCUGUAAUAAAUGGACGUAUAACUACGGUAAUUGCCCUGACUCCCUGUGUUUUAUUCUCCUUUCCAACAAACCAACUCGGGGAAGUGUUAGACUUCAACAAUUUGGGGGCUCGUCCGGGAUUGGAAAGAGGAGAAGGAAUUCGAUCUUGUCCAGACAACCUACGCGAGAUUCACAGGUUCCGAGCCGGCUCAUGAUAAAGGUAAGCAGAGCCUGUUAUAUCUAAAUCUGCAUAUUGGCUAUGAACUAAAUUUUGAACCUGUGGAAAACGUAUUGGGAGACUGGUUUAAAUUCAGGGGGUCAGGGGAACGGUCUGUGAGUUAGAGUCUCACUAUAAGUCGGGUUAGAGGCCCGUUACCGGUGUGUGAGUUAGAGUCUCACUGUAAGUCGGGUUAGAGGCCCGCUACCGGUGUGUGAGUUAGAGUCUCACUCUAAGUCGGGUUAGAGGCCCGUUAAUCGUUCUAGGGUUGACUACCCUACGCCACUUCCCGACGGGGACGGUGGAGAGUUGCGAGUUAGAGUCUCGGCAACCAGUCGGGUUAGAGUCCCGAGGACUUAGGGGCACCUCGAAGUACUUAUUGUGUGUAAAGGUUCAUCUGGGUUAGAGUCCCGGGGAGUUUUAGAACUCCCCAAAUUCUGUAUCUGGGUUAGAGUCCCGGGGAGUUUUAGAACUCCCCAAAUUCUGUAUCUGGGUUAGAGUCCCGGGGAGUUUUAGAACUCCCCAAAUUCUGUAUCUGGGUUAGAGUCCCGGGGAGUUUUAUAACUCCCCAAAUUCUGUAUCUGGGUUAGAGUCCCGGGGAGUUUUAUAACUCCCCAAAUUCUGUGUCUGGGUUAGAGUCCCGGGGAGUUUUAUAACUCCCCAAAUUCUGUAUCUGGGUUAGAGUCCCGGGGAGUUUUAUAACUCCCCAAAUUCUGUAUCUGGGUUAGAGUCCAGGGGAGUUUUAGAACUCCCCAGAUUCUGUAUCUGGGUUAGAGUCCCGGGGAGGUUUAGAACUCCCCAAAUUCUGUAUCUGGGUUGGAGUCCCGGGGAGUUUUAGAGCUCCCCAAAUUCUGUAUAAGAGAACUGGGUUCAAGUCCCAAAAAGUGUUGGGUCAGGUACCCGUUAAUCAUUUGUUAAUUAUUCUGAGUCUGGGACUCACAGUAACGUAAGUCAGGUUGAAAUGGACGGGGAGUGUGAGAGAAGUUGAUGACGAUGGGCGGUGUCCAGGCACGGGAAAGUGGAAACAAUUGGGGAUACAGGUGGCAAAUGUAAUGACUGUUGUAGGCAGGAUGGACCCAAUUCAGAAAGAAAAAGAAGGGAUAGAAGAGAAAUUGCGACAAGUGGUGAGUGAGGCAGGAUUAAGGAUGGAGGAAAGGAGACCAUUACAUGUUAUUUUGUGGAAUAAGGAGAAGGAGUGUUCUAAAAAUCGAGAUAGAGUUAGAGACAAGAAGGAAACAGCCAAUUUGGUCAAGAGAGGGAGAUAUAGAGAAAAGGAGAAGGAAUGAGAAAAGCACAGAAAAGAAUGGUGUAAAUUAGCAGUGUGGUGUCAGGGCGUAGACCAUUUGAACAAAGAGAAAAAGGGACAGAAAAUUAAGGAG
Esox lucius (northern pike) is the source of this 2069-nucleotide long non-coding RNA. The record is from Ensembl. NCBI's taxonomy places the organism in Eukaryota, Metazoa, Chordata, Actinopteri, Esociformes, Esocidae.